AGCAGCCACGGUAAUUCCAGCUCCAAUAGCGUAUAUUAAAGUUGCUGCAGUUAAAAAGCUCGUAGUUGAAUUUCGGGAUCGAUAUAUCGGUCGUGCCUCGGUACGUACUGGUAUUUUCGGUUUCUACCUUCUGACGAACCUUGAUGUCAUUAAUUUGGUGUCUUGGGGAAUCAGGACUGUUACUUUGAAAAAAUUAGAGUGUUUAAAGCAGGCUCACGCUUGAAUACAUUAGCAUGGAAUAAUGAAAUAGGACGUUUGAUUCUAUUUUGUUGGUUUCUAGGAUCGACGUAAUGAUUAAUAGGGAUAGUUGGGGGCAUUAGUAUUCAAUUGUCAGAGGUGAAAUUCUUGGAUUUAUUGAAGACUAACUACUGCGAAAGCAUUUGCCAAGGAUGUUUUCAUUAAUCAAGAACGAAAGUUAGGGGAUCGAAGACGAUCAGAUACCGUCGUAGUCUUAACCAUAAACUAUGCCGACUAGGGAUCGGAUGAUGUUAAUUUUUAAUGACUCAUUCGGCGCCUUAAC
RNAcentral lists this ribosomal RNA (520 nucleotides) under uncultured Glomus. Its description in RNAcentral is "SSU rRNA". It matches the Rfam family "Eukaryotic small subunit ribosomal RNA", at positions 569 to 1092 of the family's 1831-position model. The record is from RNAcentral. Lineage: Eukaryota; Fungi; Glomeromycota; Glomeromycetes; Glomerales; Glomeraceae.